GAGUGGCGGACGGGUGAGUAAUGCUUGGGAACUUGCCUUUGCGAGGGGGAUAACAGUUGGAAACGACUGCUAAUACCGCAUAAUGUCUUCGGACCAAACGGGGCUUCGGCUCCGGCGCAAAGAGAGGCCCAAGUGAGAUUAGCUAGUUGGUAAGGUAACGGCUUACCAAGGCGACGAUCUCUAGCUGUUCUGAGAGGAAGAUCAGCCACACUGGGACUGAGACACGGCCCAGACUCCUACGGGAGGCAGCAGUGGGGAAUAUUGCACAAUGGGGGAAACCCUGAUGCAGCCAUGCCGCGUGUGUGAAGAAGGCCUUCGGGUUGUAAAGCACUUUCAGUUGUGAGGAAAAGUUAGUAGUUAAUACCUGCUAGCCGUGACGUUAACAACAGAAGAAGCACCGGCUAACUCCGUGCCAGCAGCCGCGGUAAUACGGAGGGUGCGAGCGUUAAUCGGAAUUACUGGGCGUAAAGCGCACGCAGGCGGUUUGUUAAGCUAGAUGUGAAAGCCCCGGGCUCAACCUGGGAUGGUCAUUUAGAACUGGCAGACUAGAGUCUUGGAGAGGGGAGUGGAAUUCCAGGUGUAGCGGUGAAAUGCGUAGAUAUCUGGAGGAACAUCAGUGGCGAAGGCGACUCCCUGGCCAAAGACUGACGCUCAUGUGCGAAAGUGUGGGUAGCGAACAGGAUUAGAUACCCUGGUAGUCCACACCG
This 707-nucleotide ribosomal RNA is filed under the name Alteromonadales bacterium HOT1B7. Its description in RNAcentral is "bacterial SSU rRNA". It matches the Rfam family "Bacterial small subunit ribosomal RNA", at positions 93 to 802 of the family's 1533-position model. Lineage: Bacteria; Pseudomonadati; Pseudomonadota; Gammaproteobacteria; Alteromonadales. The record is from RNAcentral.